GAUGAACGCUGGCGGCGUGCCUAAUACAUGCAAGUCGAGCGAAUGGAUUAAGAGCUUGCUCUUAUGAAGUUAGCGGCGGACGGGUGAGUAACACGUGGGUAACCUGCCCAUAAGACUGGGAUAACUCCGGGAAACCGGGGCUAAUACCGGAUACCAUUUUGAACCGCAUGGUUCGAAAUUGAAAGGCGGCUUCGGCUGUCACUUAUGGAUGGACCGGCGUCGCAUUAGCUAGUUGGUGGGGUAACGGCUCACCAAGGCAACGAUGCGUAGCCGACCUGAGAGGGUGAUCGGCCACACUGGGACUGAGACACGGGCCAGACUCCUACGGGAGGCAGCAGUAGGGAAUCUUCCGCAAUGGACGAAAGUCUGACGGAGCAACGCCGCGUGAGUGAUGAAGGCUUUCGGGUCGUAAAACUCUGUUGUUAGGGAAGAACAAGUGCUAGUUGAAUAAGCUGGCACCUUGACGGUACCUAACCAGAAAGCCACGGCUAACUACGUGCCAGCAGCCGCCGUAA
This 515-nucleotide ribosomal RNA is filed under the name uncultured bacterium. Its description in RNAcentral is "partial 16S ribosomal RNA". It matches the Rfam family "Bacterial small subunit ribosomal RNA", at positions 28 to 523 of the family's 1533-position model. The record is from RNAcentral.